GCCACGAUCGCAUAACUCGGUAUUGCGUCAGCCUUGAGAGCUGAUUCCGAAAGGAAUUCCCGGUUCAAAUCCGGGUCGUGGCG
This 83-nucleotide transfer RNA is filed under the name Nanobdellota archaeon. RNAcentral describes it as "tRNA-Ser". It matches the Rfam family "tRNA". From Rfam's summary of the family: Transfer RNA (tRNA) molecules are approximately 80 nucleotides in length. Their secondary structure includes four short double-helical elements and three loops (D, anti-codon, and T loops). Lineage: Archaea; Nanobdellati; Nanobdellota. The record is from RNAcentral.